UACAGAGGGGGCAAGCGUUGUUCGGAAUUACUGGGCGUAAAGGGCUCGUAGGCGGCCAACUAAGUCACACGUGAAAUCCCUCAGCUUAACUGGGGAACUGCGUCCGAUACUGGAUGGCUUGGAUUUGGGAGAGGGAUGUAGAAUUCCAGGUGUAGCGGUGAAAUGCGUAGAUAUCUGGAGGAACACCGGUGGCGAAGGCGGCAUCCUGGACCAACACUGACGCUGAGGAGCGAAAGCCAGGGGAGCAAACGGGG
RNAcentral lists this ribosomal RNA (254 nucleotides) under uncultured bacterium. RNAcentral's name for it is "partial 16S ribosomal RNA". It matches the Rfam family "Bacterial small subunit ribosomal RNA", at positions 524 to 777 of the family's 1533-position model. The record is from RNAcentral.